This 2531-nucleotide long non-coding RNA is filed under the name Marmota monax (woodchuck). The record is from RNAcentral. Lineage: Eukaryota; Metazoa; Chordata; Mammalia; Rodentia; Sciuridae.
UUGACAGUUCCUCAAAUGGCACCAGAUGGGUUGAACAGAUUAAAUUCAUGAAAAAUAAGAUUUUCUCUGGUCUUUUAGAUUUAGGGACCAAGAUUCUACUCUGGGAAUAAAGACUGCUCUCUUCAACACCUCUGCUGAACAGGGGAAGACUCUGAACCAACAGUAAGUAAAAAUGCCACAGCAUUCCCCUACCAUGUUUAUGUUGCCUUUUUAUUGUUUCAGCAUUCACCUUGCAAUCAUAAGCCUUUGGCUAAUUUCCAGGGUUCCAGCAAAGAUGAUUCUGAUAGUUUCACUUGUUUGUCCAAUGUUUCAUUGAAAAUGUAGAGCACUGGAGCCACUCACUUAUCACAUAAAAUGUGACUCCUGUAUGAUUUAUUUCAUAAUAUACAUAAUCUGGUAUCGAACUAUAUGUUUAAAUCAUAUGGAGAAGAUUUGAAAGUAUGAAGUCUGAUUGUAAGUUACUACAGAGUGACAUAAAUCGAGGGCUGCUCUUUGGAGCAUAGACAAAGAAAUACUAAAAUAGGAUGAUUUUGAUGGGCAAACAAAAGGAGGAGAGUUUUGGUAAACAGAUGAUGAGUGCAAUUUGGGACAUCUUGUUUUAAUCUACCUUCAAAGGGAGUUCUGGCUGGUGAAGACCGCAUCCAUGUCUUAGGCUGAUCACUAGACUGACUCUCAAAAUGCAUACUGUCAUUCCUUCAUUCAAGACAUUCAAUUUUCUUCACCCCUUUCCCUUACUGGCCAACAACAACAACCCCCAAAAUUGAAUGUCCUAUGUCCUUAACUCCCGUUUUAUUCUGUGUAGGCCAAAGGUGUAUCAAUCAUUAGAGACACAAUGAAAACAUUGUAUAUAUUCUCCUACAUGCAGCUAUUAGGCUGGGUUGUUUCCUUAUUGUUACAGUGUUCUUUAUAAUUAAUGAAUUGCUAGUUUUUUUUUUAUCAGUUACAUAAGGACUUUUGCCAAAUCUUUCUGAAGUGAUUACUGAUUUUCAAUUUCUCCAUGCAAUACUAUAAAUUUCUGUUUUAUUUUACAAUAGAUUAUUUUUGAAUAAUUUUUAUAUUCAAAAACAAAACAGAGCAGAAGGUAGAGAGAUUUCUUAUCUACCACUUUUUCCUCUACUGUAUAGCCAUGUUACCAACAUCUGCCACCAGAAUGGUACUUUUUUAAACACUGAUGAAUCUACACUGACACAUCAAUAUCACCUCAAAUCCAUAGUUUACAUUAUUGUUAACUUUUGGUGUUGUACAUUCUUUUGAGUUUUGACACAUGUUUAAUGAUAUGCAUCCACACUUAUAUAAUCAUACAGAAUGCUUUUCCUACCCUAAAAAUUCUCUGUACUUCACCAGUUCAUCCUUCCAUCCCAAUUAAACUCUGGAAAUAUACUUUUACUAUUUUCAUACUUUGACUUGUCCCAGAAAAUUGUGUUAUUAGAACCAUAUAGUAAAUAGUAUUUUCCGGUUGACUUUCUUCACUGAGUACUACACAUGUAAGGGUCCUAUACAUCUUUUCAUUUUUUUCAUAAUAGAUUUUAUAUUAGUGCUGAAUUAUAUCCCAUCAUCUACAUAUGCCACAAUGUAUUUACCCAUCUAACUACUGAAUAAAAUCUUUUGUUAUCUUUAAGUUUUUGCAAUUGUAAAUAAAUCUUCCACAAACAUCUGUGUACAGGUUUUUUUAUGGAUAUGGUUUCAACUCCUCUGUAUGAAUAUCAAGGAUUUUUACUGCUGAGCUCUACAUAUUUUUCUUUUGAUGGCCCAUUAGUCCUUCCUGGAUGUUUAAAAAUCUGUGGGUGACAUUUUCCUUCCUCUGAGUGAAGGAUGUGGGGAAAAUGACACCUAAGACAGUAUGUGGUCUGGGGUAAAGAAGAGAAAAGAAAAAAACAAAAAAUUUAAUCCUUCCCAUCAGUCAUUUCCCUGCAGCAAGACAGACCCUGGAAAGCAGAUAGCCAUUAACCUAAGAAUAUCAACCUUGCCCCCAUGACAAUACCGUGACCCUGGGAGGGCAAGGCAAGCACUGGACCCUGACCUCUAACCUCCAUGCCUGCCCUGUAAAAACACUGCCUAACAGAAACUGUGACCAGUAAAAACAAGUUCCAGAUGUUCACAACCUACCCCUGGCCAGUUGAAGUUUUCGCAGACUAAAUGUAGUCUAUGUAAACCCAUACACCUCCCAUAAUGGGUGCCAUUUUCCAUCCAGGAAGUGUGCCCAGAAGCUCAGAUUCCUGUCUGCACUGCUGUGUAAAGGUUUUCCUGAAUUCAUGAGGUCUGUAACUGUUUCAGUCAUUUUGUGCUUGCACUGAAGAAUGCAAUAUUUUAUAUCUUUUACUGUGCAUUUUCUAGUGGUGAAUCCUCUUAUUUUUUGUUUUCAGUGUUCACUUUGUACCAUAAUUCUUCAAGAUUAUAUUAUUUUGUAUAGAAAUUGUCUGUUAUUUUCUUUCAGGGCAUUAAAGACUCCAUUCUCUUCUUUUGGCUUCCACUAGAGCUGCACAGAAGUCAGCUCUCUUUACCAGGUUUUUGAAAAACUCAUUAUUUCUAUC